Agrilus planipennis (emerald ash borer) is the source of this 489-nucleotide RNA transcript. RefSeq lists it as uncharacterized. The record is from RefSeq and is a predicted model, not a curated record. NCBI's taxonomy places the organism in Eukaryota, Metazoa, Arthropoda, Insecta, Coleoptera, Buprestidae. The transcript is spliced from 3 exons.
GUAAUUGUGCAAUAACAAUUGAAAUCUGCUCGACACAUCCACUGUAUAAGUUGCUUUAAUGUGCAAUUGUUUAUUCUGCAUUUGCAUUUCAUGUAGCAUUUAAAGGAACGUUUUCAUGAAAUUCACGUCUUUGGAAUACGUACAAGCAGUUAAAUAAUAUACGGAAUUUGUUGUGAUCAGAAUUAGAUAAUAUGACCACUUUCAAAGAAAUAAACGGCAAGUCAAUUUUACAUUAAUUCUGCAAGAGAAAAGGUGAAUAUGAAGAUGGUACAUUGAGAGGGGAAUCAAAAUUUUCAAAGAAAGGGGGGCCACUAUGGUCAAACAUUGAGAUAUAAAAGAAGACGAAAACAAUCUGCCAUCAGUCACCUUUUCUGGAUUAACCAUGAAGGUGUUUGUGUGUCUGCUGGUGGUAUCUAUCGCCGCAUUCGUCAAUGCUGGCAUUAGCGGAUGGUCAGGUGGGGGAGGAGGAGGAGGCGGAUGGGCCGGAGG